Molecule: ribosomal RNA, 913 nt
Filed under: uncultured marine archaeon
Lineage: Archaea
Description: bacterial SSU rRNA
Rfam family: Archaeal small subunit ribosomal RNA
Source: RNAcentral
UUCCGGUUGAUCCCGCCGGACCUGACUGCUAUCGGAUUGAUACUAAGCCAUGCGAGUCUUUGCAGUAAUGCAAGGCAUACGGCUCAGUAACACGUAGUCAACUUACCCUAUGGACGAGGAUAAUCUCGGGAAACUGAGCAUAAUACUCGAUAGAUCAUAAUGCCUGGAAUGGUUUAUGGUUGAAAUGAUUCGUCGCCAUAGGAUGGGACUGCGGCCUAUCAGCUUGUUGGUGAGGUAAAGGCCCACCAAGGCUAUUACAGGUACGGGCUCUGAGAGGAGUAGCCCGGAGAUGGGUACUGAGACACGGACCCAGGCCCUAUGGGGCGCAGCAGGCGAGAAAACUUUGCAAUGUGCGAAAGCACGACAAGGUUAAUCCGAGUGGUUUCUGCUAAAGGAACCUUUUGUUAGUCCUAGAAACACUAACGAAUAAGGGGUGGGCAAGUUCUGGUGUCAGCCGCCGCGGUAAAACCAGCACCUCAAGUGGUCAGGAUGAUUAUUGGGCCUAAAGCAUCCGUAGCCGGCUCUAUAAGUUUUCGGUUAAAUCUGUACGCUCAACGUACAGGCUGCCGGGAAUACUGCAGAGCUAGGGAGUGGGAGAGGUAGACGGUACUCGGGAGGAAGGGGUAAAAUCCUUUGAUCUCUCGAUGACCACCUGUGGCGAAGGCGGUCUACCAGAACACGUCCGACGGUGAGGGAUGAAAGCUGGGGGAGCAAACCGGAUUAGAUACCCGGGUAGUCCCAGCUGUAAACUAUGCAAACUCAGUGAUGCAUUGACUUGUGGUCAAUGCAGUGCUGCAGGGAAGCCGUUAAGUUUGCCGCCUGGGAAGUACGUACGCAAGUAUGAAACUUAAAGGAAUUGGCGGGGGAGCACCACAAGGGGUGAAGCCUGCGGUUCAAUUGGAGUCAACGCCGG